AACCUUAUGGACCUGCGGGCGUAUACCUGCGGAGGGAUCAUUACAAGUGACCCCGGUCUAACCACCGGGAUGUUCAUAACCCUUUGUUGUCCGACUCUGUUGCCUCCGGGGCGACCCUGCCUUCGGGCGGGGGCUCCGGGUGGACACUUCAAACUCUUGCGUAACUUUGCAGUCUGAGUAAACUUAAUUAAUAAAUUAAAACUUUCAGCAAUGGAUCU
RNAcentral lists this unclassified non-coding RNA (218 nucleotides) under soil metagenome. Its description in RNAcentral is "partial contains 5.8S ribosomal RNA, internal transcribed spacer 2, and large subunit ribosomal RNA". The record is from RNAcentral.